This 696-nucleotide ribosomal RNA is filed under the name Halomonas sp. SL4f. RNAcentral describes it as "bacterial SSU rRNA". It matches the Rfam family "Bacterial small subunit ribosomal RNA", at positions 397 to 1085 of the family's 1533-position model. The record is from RNAcentral. Lineage: Bacteria; Pseudomonadati; Pseudomonadota; Gammaproteobacteria; Oceanospirillales; Halomonadaceae.
CCGCGAGUGUGAAGAAGGCUUUCGGGUUGUAAAGUACUUUCAGUGGGGAAGAAAUCCUCGGGGCCAAUACCCUCGAGGGAGGACAUCACCCACAGAAGAAGCACCGGCUAACUCCGUGCCAGCAGCCGCGGUAAUACGGAGGGUGCGAGCGUUAAUCGGAAUUACUGGGCGUAAAGCGCGCGUAGGCGGCGUGAUAAGCCGGUUGUGAAAGCCCCGGGCUCAACCUGGGAACGGCAUCCGGAACUGUCAGGCUAGAGUGCAGGAGAGGAAGGUAGAAUUCCCGGUGUAGCGGUGAAAUGCGUAGAGAUCGGGAGGAAUACCAGUGGCGAAGGCGGCCUUCUGGACUGACACUGACGCUGAGGUGCGAAAGCGUGGUUAGCAAACAGGAUUAGAUACCCUGGUAGUCCACGCCGUAAACGAUGUCGACUAGCCGUUGGGGUCCUUGUGACCUUUGUGGCGCAGUUAACGCGAUAAGUCGACCGCCUGGGGAGUACGGCCGCAAGGUUAAAACUCAAAUGAAUUGACGGGGGCCCGCACAAGCGGUGGAGCAUGUGGUUUAAUUCGAUGCAACGCGAAGAACCUUACCUACUCUUGACAUCGUGCGAACUUUCCAGAGAUGGAUUGGUGCCUUCGGGAGCGCACAGACAGGUGCUGCAUGGCCGUCGUCAGCUCGUGUUGUGAAAUGUUGGGUUAAGU